This 61-nucleotide unclassified non-coding RNA is filed under the name Pisonia brunoniana. RNAcentral describes it as "partial 26S ribosomal RNA". Lineage: Eukaryota; Viridiplantae; Streptophyta; Magnoliopsida; Caryophyllales; Nyctaginaceae. The record is from RNAcentral.
GCGACCCCAGGUCAGGCGGGGCUACCCGCUGAGUUUAAGCAUAUCAAUAAGCGGAGGAGGG